This 253-nucleotide ribosomal RNA is filed under the name uncultured bacterium. RNAcentral's name for it is "partial 16S ribosomal RNA". It matches the Rfam family "Bacterial small subunit ribosomal RNA", at positions 524 to 776 of the family's 1533-position model. The record is from RNAcentral.
UACAGAGGUCCCGAGCGUUGUUCGGAUUUAUUGGGCGUAAAGGGUGCGUAGGCGGUUCUUUAAGUCAGGGGUGAAAUCCUGGAGCUCAACUCCAGAACUGCCUUUGAUACUGAAGAUCUUGAGUUCGGGAGAGGUGAGUGGAACUGCGAGUGUAGAGGUGAAAUUCGUAGAUAUUGGGAAGAACACCAGUGGCGAAGGCGGCUAACUGGUCCGAUACUGACGCUGAGGUGCGAAAGCGUGGGGAGCAAACAGG